RNAcentral lists this ribosomal RNA (1333 nucleotides) under uncultured bacterium. RNAcentral describes it as "bacterial SSU rRNA". It matches the Rfam family "Bacterial small subunit ribosomal RNA", at positions 28 to 1382 of the family's 1533-position model. The record is from RNAcentral.
GACGAACGCUGGCGGCGCGCCUAACACAUGCAAGUCGAACGAGAGAUGAGGAGCUUGCUCUUCAAAUCGAGUGGCGAACGGGUGAGUAACGCGUGAGGAACCUGCCUCAAAGAGGGGGACAACAGUUGGAAACGACUGCUAAUACCGCAUAAGCCCACGGCUCGGCAUCGAGCAGAGGGAAAAGGAGCAAUCCGCUUUGAGAUGGCCUCGCGUCCGAUUAGCUAGUUGGUGAGGUAACGGCCCACCAAGGCAACGAUCGGUAGCCGGACUGAGAGGUUGAACGGCCACAUUGGGACUGAGACACGGCCCAGACUCCUACGGGAGGCAGCAGUGGGGAAUAUUGCACAAUGGGGGAAACCCUGAUGCAGCGACGCCGCGUGGAGGAAGAAGGUCUUCGGAUUGUAAACUCCUGUUGUUGAGGAAGAUAAUGACGGUACUCAACAAGGAAGUGACGGCUAACUACGUGCCAGCAGCCGCGGUAAAACGUAGGUCACAAGCGUUGUCCGGAAUUACUGGGUGUAAAGGGAGCGCAGGCGGGAGAACAAGUUGGAAGUGAAAUCCAUGGGCUCAACCCAUGAACUGCUUUCAAAACUGUUUUUCUUGAGUAGUGCAGAGGUAGGCGGAAUUCCCGGUGUAGCGGUGGAAUGCGUAGAUAUCGGGAGGAACACCAGUGGCGAAGGCGGCCUACUGGGCACCAACUGACGCUGAGGCUCGAAAGUGUGGGUAGCAAACAGGAUUAGAUACCCUGGUAGUCCACACCGUAAACGAUGAUUACUAGGUGUUGGAGGAUUGACCCCUUCAGUGCCGCAGUUAACACAAUAAGUAAUCCACCUGGGGAGUACGACCGCAAGGUUGAAACUCAAAGGAAUUGACGGGGGCCCGCACAAGCAGUGGAGUAUGUGGUUUAAUUCGACGCAACGCGAAGAACCUUACCAAGUCUUGACAUCCCUUGACGAUGCUGGAAACAGUAUUUCUCUUCGGAGCAAGGAGACAGGUGGUGCAUGGUUGUCGUCAGCUCGUGUCGUGAGAUGUUGGGUUAAGUCCCGCAACGAGCGCAACCCUUAUGGUCAGUUACUACGCAAGAGGACUCUGGCCAGACUGCCGUUGACAAAACGGAGGAAGGUGGGGAUGACGUCAAAUCAUCAUGCCCUUUAUGACUUGGGCUACACACGUACUACAAUGGCGUUAAACAAAGAGAAGCAAGACCGCGAGGUGGAGCAAAACUCAGAAACAACGUCCCAGUUCGGACUGCAGGCUGCAACUCGCCUGCACGAAGUCGGAAUUGCUAGUAAUCGUGGAUCAGCAUGCCACGGUGAAUACGUUCCCGGGCCUU